GUAGUCCACGCUGUAAACGAUGAUUACUAGGUGUGGGGGGACUGACCCCUUCCGUGCCGCAGUUAACACAAUAAGUAAUCCACCUGGGGAGUACGGCCGCAAGGUUGAAACUCAAAGGAAUUGACGGGGGCCCGCACAAGCAGUGGAUUAUGUGGUUUAAUUCGAAGCAACGCGAAGAACCUUACCAGCUCUUGACAUCUCCUGCAUAACCUAGAGAUAGGUGAAGCCCUUCGGGGCAGGAAGACAGGUGGUGCAUGGUUGUCGUCAGCUCGUGUCGUGAGAUGUUGGGUUAAGUCCCGCAACGAGCGCAACCCUUACUAUUAGUUGCUACGCAAGAGCACUCUAAUGGGACUGCCGUUGACAAAACGGA
Molecule: ribosomal RNA, 370 nt
Filed under: uncultured bacterium
Lineage: Bacteria
Description: bacterial SSU rRNA
Rfam family: Bacterial small subunit ribosomal RNA
Source: RNAcentral